GGCCGGUUAGCUCAGUUGGUCAGAGCGUGGUGCUGAUAACGCCAUGGUUGCGGGUUCAAUCCCCUUAUGGGUAUCA
Non-coding RNA from Trichomycterus rosablanca, 76 nucleotides. Lineage: Eukaryota; Metazoa; Chordata; Actinopteri; Siluriformes; Trichomycteridae. The record is from the annotation of a RefSeq genome assembly.